Molecule: long non-coding RNA, 2387 nt
Filed under: Sus scrofa (pig)
Lineage: Eukaryota; Metazoa; Chordata; Mammalia; Artiodactyla; Suidae
Description: lncRNA (ENSSSCG00060067932.1)
Source: RNAcentral
GCGCUUCCUCUGAAAGUUAGGAAAGAUGGGAAAGUAUAUGAACUAAAAUCGUUAGAGUCAUGGACUAAUGUGAACAUAUUACAGAUUUUGAAACCCUGGAGCAAGAGUAUUUUUGGAUUGUGAGAGAUCUAGGUUUGGUAGAAAAAGAGUUUCAUGUAGUGAGUGAACAUAAGCAGAAGCUGAGGUGGUGGUGAGUAGGCGAAAAGAUUAUCAGGAGAAUUUUUUUUUUUUAAGAGAAAUACAUAAUUUCCUAAUUUGUUGUUUUUAAAAACUAGAGUAGAUACGUUUACUGAAAACUCACAGUUUGAUAUUAAAAGAGGGGAACUGUACUCUGACAGCUUGUCUGCUUGGUGCUUCUGUGAGGGGUGUGAAAAUCAGAGGUGGAGGGACCAGGAGUGGAACCCAAGGUGAACCUAGUGGAAUAUGUUUUCUCUUUUCAAAGCAACCCACUUCCUUGAUCUUUGGUUUAGGUUUAGACAAGUCACUUCCCUUCUUUGGGUCUCAGUUUCUGCUACAAAGUGAGGAAAUUGGAUUGAUUUUGGCUUCCCGUAGGGUUGCCAGAUAAAAUACAGAACAUUCAGUUAAAUCUGAAUUUUAGUAAACAGUGAAUGCAUUUUUUUUAGUAUAAGUAUUGCAUAGGGCACGCUUUACUAAAAAAUUCAUUGCUUAAUGUGAAAUUUAAGUUUAACUGGCCUUACUGUAUUUCUGUUUGCUAAAUCUGGCAACCCCAGCUCCAACAAAAAGUUUUGUCUUCUUUAAAUUAGCUUCAAGAAGAUAUUGUAGAUGCAUAGACAAGAGUGAAUUGAUUCAGCCAGUCAAGGCCCCUUGGUUGUUAUCAGUAGCAUUAUCUAGCUGUUGAAGAAUAGAUCUGUUUCACUGUGUCUCUUUUUUUCCCUUCCAUGUGGCAGUUCCUUUUCUGCUGUAAUCACAUAGUGUUUAGGUUUAUACUUUUGGUAGUAAACAAUUUAAAUAACUGAAAGGAAAGAAAGUUGCCAAAAUAUUAAAAGUGACAAUUUAUAAUCCUAUUUAUUCUUCAGUUGUGGUUGACCUCAAGGCAUUUUCUAAAGUGGUGGACUGUUCUGGUGGUAAAUAAUCCUUUAGGAUGUUCUUAGGCCUUUGGCUGCAUGAAAAUAUGGAAAUGACUGGUAUAUAUGCUAUAAACCUUUAAUUUUAACUAUUUGUCAGUUUUAUAUUUGCUAUAAUUUGAAGAUUUUCAAUGUUGAGAUUCUUUUUCAGGGAGUGUAAUUUUUAAUUCCUCAUUUUUGGAAUUUUUUUUUUUUUUAAACUAGGCCUGAUCUGGUUUCAUUGCUUAACUCACUCUGAAAUUCCUGACUUUUCUAAUUAAUUUAUUCAUUUAACAGUCUACAACAACAAAAAAAUGAGUGCCUUCCAAGAGCCAGGUUGAUGAGGUUGAUGUGUUAUUUUAGUUCUUCGGGUGCUUAUUCUGAUAGAGGAGUUAGAUCACAUGCAAUCCAGGGAUAAUGUGAUGAGGGCCUUUAAGUGAUACAAAUGCUAUGGAAAUUGAGAGGAGGAUCAGUGCCCAUCAUGUUGAUAGAUUGUAUGGCAGAACUCCUUGAAGGAGGUGGUAUUUAAUCCAGGUAAUGGUGGUUAAGGUAAGGUGAGGAAGACAGGUUUACAAAAAGGUGGGAAGAAGCGAGAAAGGGCAGGGGAAUCCACCUGCUCAGUUCUACAAAGCAUACACGUGGUUGGAUUGAAAAUAGUUGAUACUAUUGUUUACAUGUAGUUUUUGAUUCACUCUUCAUCUGCAUUAAGUAUCUUAGUAUGGAAGUACUUCAGGGUGUAUCUAUUAUUAGAUGCACUUCAGAUGUCAGUGGAAAAAUGUCUAUGAAAUAUGUCAUGCAUACAAAAAUGUAUAAUUUGUAUAUGUAAAGCUAAAAAAAUACACCUUUACCAUAUCAUUGAAACCUUCCGGAUUGGACUCCCACUUCCUUCCUCUCAGAAGUCACCACCAGACUCAAUUCUGUAUCUACCAUUUCUUUUCUUUUUUUGAUAGUCCUUACAUGUAUAUAUGCUUCUAAAACAUUGUUUAUUUUUGCAUAUUUAUGCAGUUGAUGUAAAUGGAAUCAUGCUAUGUAUAUUUUUUUCCUGUGACUUUUUCCACUUAGGAUUAGGUUAUUGUAUUUCAUCCAUGCUGUUUUUUCCCCAAGGUUCCAUCUGUGCUGGUUUUUUCCAAGUGUAAGGAUUUCCCUGAGGGUAAACACCUAGGUUUGGAGUUGCUGCUUGUAAGUUGUGCAUAUGUGCAGUUGUACUAAAUAUCACCAAAUUGCUUUCCCAUGUAGUUGUGCUAACUUACUCUCCUACCAGCAGUGUAUGAGCGCUCCUGUUGAUGUCCUGUCUGUGUGCUCCCCAGUGCUCAGAAUGAGCAA